RNAcentral lists this transfer RNA (94 nucleotides) under Stieleria marina. RNAcentral describes it as "Planctomycetes bacterium K23_9 tRNA-Sec". It matches the Rfam family "Selenocysteine transfer RNA". RNAcentral also lists the same sequence under 1 other name. The record is from RNAcentral. Lineage: Bacteria; Pseudomonadati; Planctomycetota; Planctomycetia; Pirellulales; Pirellulaceae.
GGAAGCGUUUGCUGGUCUGGUGACCGCCUCGGUCUUCAAAACCGAUGAAGCGUCCGAAACGAUGCUUGGUGGGUUCGAUUCCCAUCCGCUUCCG